This 508-nucleotide ribosomal RNA is filed under the name uncultured bacterium. RNAcentral's name for it is "bacterial SSU rRNA". It matches the Rfam family "Bacterial small subunit ribosomal RNA", at positions 30 to 525 of the family's 1533-position model. The record is from RNAcentral.
AUUGAACGCUGGCGGCAUGCCUUACACAUGCAAGUCGAACGGCAGCACGGGGGCAACCCUGGUGGCGAGUGGCGAACGGGUGAGUAAUACAUCGGAAUGUACCCAGUAGUGGGGGAUAACUAGUCGAAAGAUUAGCUAAUACCGCAUACGCACUAUGGUGGAAAGCGGGGGAUCGCAAGACCUCGCGCUAUUGGAGCAGCCGAUGUCCGAUUAGGUAGUUGGUGGGGUAAAAGCCUACCAAGCCUGCGAUCGGUAACUGGUCUGAGAGGACGACCAGUCACACUGGGACUGAGACACGGCCCAGACUCCUACGGGAGGCAGCAGUGGGGAAUUUUGGACAAUGGGGGCAACCCUGAUCCAGCCAUGCCGCGUGAGUGAAGAAGGCCUUCGGGUUGUAAAGCUCUUUCGGCCGGGUAACGGAAAUACGCAUGGGCUAAUACCCUGUGCGGAUGACGGUACCGGCGACUAAGAAGCACCGGCUAACUACGUGCCAGCAGCCGCGGUAACG